Molecule: long non-coding RNA, 3384 nt
Organism: Toxorhynchites rutilus septentrionalis
Lineage: Eukaryota; Metazoa; Arthropoda; Insecta; Diptera; Culicidae
Exons: 4
Source: RefSeq, a predicted model, not a curated record
AAAAAUUCCAACACAACAUCAUUAUGGGGAAUAUUUUCCUUUCGGUUUUAAUCUUGAUCAGUUUACUUUUUCAUCGGCUGUGCUCUCUUUCGUUCAUUAUCACUGUUGUAGGCACUUUUCAGUCCUCCCGACGAGGGCCCAGCAGUAGAAGAAGGUCCUGCGAUUGCACCAGCCUUCAUCAUCCGAUAUCGAUUGAUCAAACUUGUUGCCGUAGUAUGUGCUGCAAGGAAGCGAAAAAAGAUGAUUUUUUUCUUUUCGGUUCACAUAAUGCCCCCCGUCGGUAUUGUUACUUACAUCGACUGUUUGUACGUGUCAGUGGCCUUGGACUUUUGCCCACUCGCUUGGGGCUGAAUUUCCGGUUCUCCUUGUUCAGGGUUAGUGUGACUUUGGAAAUCACAUUUCCCUUGGUGGAAGCUCGCCUGAGAACUGGUUCAAAUAGAUUGAAAAUGUAACUGCUGGGUUCAGUCGAAAAUCUGAUAGAUACCAACCUUUAUUCAGUACUUUGGGAUCGACGUUGCUCUCUACAAGUACGUUAGAGAACAAGGAACUGGCAGAAUCUUUGCUAGAAUCGAUGCAGAAGGUGUUAUUGCCGUUAGCAGUGCCUUCAUCAGGACCAUCGGAAAGAUCACUAGUAUCGGUCGAAGACGAUGAACUGGAGAAUUUUUGCAAUUUUUUGGCACAAGACAUUUUGGUGGAACCACUGACGAGCAGCUUAGGAACUUUAAAUUGUGCUAUUGUGGUUGUUUUCUGAGAUUUCGUUGGAGUUUUCCUGGUUACGGUGGUUUUCACACUCAAACUCUGCGCUUUGAAGUUAAGAGGUCGCAGAGCCUUAGGCUUCUUAAACUCGACAACGUUGGGUUCAUCAGUUUGCAUUUUGGAGACAGUUUCUGAUUCACUUUCAUCAUCACUCUUCAGUCGCUUCAGUGCACAUUCUGUUUCCAUUUCCCCAUUCCAAUCGAGUGUAUCUACGCAAUCAGAUAGGUUUGUGAUUUUCUCGAUGCUCGUAUCGGUUAUAUUCACCUCUUUCAUGAGCUCACUCUGGUCAUCGUCUUCGCUGAACUUGACACCGCGUUGACACUGAUCCAAGCGGACCAAUUUUUCCAUUUUUUCAAGAAUGAUAUUGUCCAGCCGUCCCAUACUUCGUAGGAGCAAGUAGUUCUGCUGAAUUAUGUCCGCACUGAGGGUCGUUAUCUUCUCCCAUUGCUUGUUUUCAUCGACAUAGAUCAUAUUGAUUUUCAUGACGUGACUUUUCUUAUGGUGGGAUUUUGCCUCAUUAAGCUCCGCGUCUUUAGCUUCGAGCUGAUAUUUGAGAAAGCCGACAAGCGGAGUCGAGUUCACUUCUGCCUUCAAAGUAGCAAUACUUUUGAUGGCUGCCUUGUACCGCUUCGCCCAUCGAUGCAUUUCUUCCCUUUGUUGUGUGAUCUGUUUGGAGUACCGAUCGAUGGAUGCCUGUAGGCGGGCUAUGUUCUACAAAAAUAACAAGAACAACGUUAGAUGAAAACUCGUUGUCUUUUUCAAAAUUGCAAAUUACAUUCACACAAAAACCGGCAGAUAGCAUAGACCAAUUGGAAGGUAUAUGGGGAGACUAACUUUUAACAAGAUCUUGUAAUUUUAUAUUAAAAAAGGUGGGUAAUAUUGUGGACAUAACCGGAGAGACGUAGGACUACAUCGAGGGUUAAUUGAAAUCACUGUAUUCACGCUAAUCACCGGAGCCGAAAUUUAAUAGAUAGCAAUUUUAUUGUUCGCACUGGCUCACAGAUAUCUUUUGUAUCGUUGUUGCCUUGUUGUUUGCAGUGUUUUAUUAUUCUUUUGUGCUACAUAAAUGUUUAUUCCGCUAUUUCCUGAACUACAUAUAAAUACUUCACGAACUACUUGUUGUUUGCACUGUUUUGUUAUUUUUUGGCGCUAUAGAAAUGCGUAUUUGGGGUUUGCGGUAUUAACGUAUGAACACCACUGUAGGGCAAUUUUCAUUAUGAAUUUAUUUAUUCGCAAUGACAUUUAUUCUAGUGUCAAUAAUGGUGACGAAGUAUCCAUCUAACGAAGAUAAGGAACCGAGGCGGCUCCAAGCCGCCGGGGUAACGCAAUCCGAGUGGCCCGCCGACGCGCCGUCGGAAGCGGCGGUCUCGCAAGCAAACCCGUGUUCUACCGAUUGCCCGGUAAGUUUUAAACAUAGGAGACGAUCCUUCAGCAUACUUACAUACGGCAUACAUUUUUGGUUCGAAAUAUGUGUCACGCUCUGGUGGCGCUCAUACGUUAAUACCGCAAAUCCCAAAUACGCAUUUCUGUAGCGCCAAAAAAUAACAAAACAGUGCAAAUAACAAGUAGUUCGUGUAGUAUUUAUAUGUAGUUCAGGAAAUAGCGGAAUAAACUGCCCGCUCUACUAUACUUUCGAGCGGUUAUAGACCUAAUACCGACCGGAACGGUGUAAAGUGCUGGAAAAAACCCCCUCUUUCACCCCCGCAGGCUAAACUGUCCAUAAGUUGAACUAUAAAAGUACACGAUAACUAGUACUUAGUAAAACGACAUCACUGCAUCGAUUCCCUUUCUUCUUUCUCACUGAACUGUCAUUCGAAUAAACAAAAGCAAAAAGAGUGAACUGAGUGAAGAAUUUUCUUAAACAGCGAAUAGCAAACGAAGGACGUGAAGUGAUGACAAUAAAUUUAAGAUUUCAAAGACAAUAUCGCCAACGGAUGUUUCCAACGAAGUUUCAUCUGAUGUGGUUAUUUCGCUUUUGUUGUCUUCAAUCAGACUUGUAUGGAUAUAAUUGAUGUAGCAAUGGAUGCAUCCGGAUUUGCAGUCACCUGUCUAUGUAAAAAUGCAUACAGAUCAAUCAGCCUUUAAAGAAAAAAAACAUUCUCACUAUUUGAGGAACAAAUGAACAUGUAUAAAAUCAGCGAUUGAGCGUUAUUCAGUAGCAGCCAGAUAGAACGUCGCAGUUACAGAAAAAGCAUCUGAUGCAUGGACCAUCGUAACAAUUACCUAACCUUGAAUUUCUAACUGCUUCGUCAGCAGCUGCUUUAGGACCUGCAUCCAACGAUCGCGUUAAACCCACUUAUUGAUGAUAUAGAUGAUGCUUUCAACAUCCCAAACUUUAACUGAAUAGGAAUGUUCAGUGAAGAUCUGAUUCGUCCACAUCCGCAAAGUAUAGUCUAGAAUGGUGGUAUUUGGACUAAAGUUUCAUUCUAGCCGCAUCGAAUAAUUUUACGGUAGUCAUUAUAGGAUAAUCAUCGGACGAUAAUUAUGAAUGCUUAAAAUGUAUUCGCCGAAUGUUCCAGUGAAAGAUUGUUUCGUUCAUUGUAACGUGUUGUGUAGGAUAGCUAUUAUUCGUAAUAGUAUACAAUAUAUCAUAGUGUUAGUAUUAGUAUCGAUUUAUAUAAAGUCGCA